CUAAAAACCCCCCCUUUUAUAAAAUUUAAGACCUCAAAUCAGGUGGGACUACCCGCUGAACUUAAGCAUAUC
RNAcentral lists this ribosomal RNA (72 nucleotides) under Puccinia persistens. Its description in RNAcentral is "partial 28S ribosomal RNA". The record is from RNAcentral. Lineage: Eukaryota; Fungi; Basidiomycota; Pucciniomycetes; Pucciniales; Pucciniaceae.